UGGAGCCAAAGCCGCUUCUUUUGAAAAACGCAUCCGUCUCUCUAUCUCUGUUUCUCUCUCUCUCUCUCGAUCAAUUGCGAACUCCAUUGUUGUUACAGAGCAAGGUUGAAUUGGGAAUUUUGAUUCCAUAAUGAUCAGUUCUGAAAUAAACAAAAAUGAGUUGGGCAGCAGUGGGACUUUCGUGGCUUCUAACCGUAGCCACUCGCCUCUAAUAAAAAAGAUGCCGCUAAGAGAUGUCCAGAAUGAUAAUAGAAUUUCAGAAGGUUCCCGUGUCCUGGAGGGAAGACCCAUUGCCGAUGCAACCAAAGUUAUUGGAACCAAGAAACUCACAACUGAGUGCCCAUUAAGCCCUCAUUUUGACACUUCCAUGAGCAAAAAUGGUAAAAAUGGGCAUCUUAUGGCUCGCCAGAUAAAGUUUAAAUCAGAAUCAGGCAAAGGAAGAAUUCAGAACAUUAUGGACACAAGUGCUGAAUUUCCAUCAAAACAAACUCAGAUAAGAGACAACAAUCUGUAUUUCACUUCUGUAUUUAGGCCAAAUCUUAUGAGUUCCAUGAUGACCUUUCCCCAUGGCGGACCUUCAGUUCCCAUUUCUCUUGGGAAGCCUGGAAAUGGCUUUUCUGCUGCUGAAUUCAAUGGCAUUAAAUUCAGCUCAGAGGUCUGUCAUCCAUUUGAUCCUACAGUAACUGAUGAUCAACACAGACAGGAAAGGUUUCUUCAUUUGCAGACGUUCUUGAAGCAAUGCAAUGAAUCUAGUCGGGAUUAUAUCCAGAUCUUAUCUUUUAUUCUCUGUAACAUCGCCAGUGCUUCAAAGUUUGCCACCUGCUGAACUGAGCAGACAUGCAGUUGAGUUGGAGAAAAGAGCAAUGCAGCUAACAAUUGAAGAAGGAAAACAGCUGCAACGGAUGAAAGCUCUAAACGUCUUGGUGAAGCCGGACCCAGGGAACAGCCCGAGCCCAUUGCUGACUGCUCAAGCUCAACAACCCCUAUCUAAUAAAUGAAACGUGAGAAUGGCAAUCUGUUAACAGUUUGGUGAUUGACGAGCAAACACGUUUUGGGUCCUGCCCCAACUUCUUCUUGGGGACAAUUGGACAUGAAUUUCCUCCUCAUUUUUUCUGCUUACAGGCUGCUUCUGGGGGGGGGGG
This is an RNA transcript of Diospyros lotus (date-plum), 1142 nucleotides long. RefSeq lists it as uncharacterized. The record is from RefSeq and is a predicted model, not a curated record. The transcript is spliced from 4 exons. Lineage: Eukaryota; Viridiplantae; Streptophyta; Magnoliopsida; Ericales; Ebenaceae.